This 339-nucleotide ribosomal RNA is filed under the name uncultured soil bacterium. RNAcentral's name for it is "bacterial SSU rRNA". It matches the Rfam family "Bacterial small subunit ribosomal RNA", at positions 26 to 377 of the family's 1533-position model. The record is from RNAcentral.
AGAUUGAACGCUGGCGGCAUGCCUAACACAUGCAAGUCGAACGGGAGUAGCAAUACUCUAGUGGCGGACGGGUGAGGAAUACGUAGGAAUUUGCCCUUAAGUGGGGGAUAACCCGGGGAAACCCGGAUUAAUACCGCAUGACCUCGAAAGAGCAAAGUGGGGGAUCGCAAGACCUCACGCUUUUGGAGAAGCCUACGUCGGAUUAGCUAGUUGGUGAGGUAAUGGCUCACCAAGGCGACGAUCCGUAACUGGUCUGAGAGGAUGAUCAGUCACACCGGAACUGAGACACGGUCCGGACUCCUACGGGAGCAGCAGUGGGAAUAGUUGGACAAGUGGGCG